RNAcentral lists this small nuclear RNA (127 nucleotides) under Jaculus jaculus (lesser Egyptian jerboa). RNAcentral's name for it is "U4 spliceosomal RNA (ENSJJAG00000001180.1)". The stretch from base 1 to 83 matches the Rfam family "U4 spliceosomal RNA". From Rfam's summary of the family: U4 small nuclear RNA (U4 snRNA) is a component of the major U2-dependent spliceosome. The structure of U4 snRNA from yeast and human has been reported. U4 snRNA presents a k-turn RNA motif in the 5p-SL related to recognition of Snu13 protein. The record is from RNAcentral. Lineage: Eukaryota; Metazoa; Chordata; Mammalia; Rodentia; Dipodidae.
UUCUCUGCUCAGUGCAAGUAUCAUAGCCAAUGAGGUUUAUCUGAGACAUGAGUAUUGCUAAUUGAAAACUUUAAAAAUAAAAUAAAGUGUUCUCAUUUAGAAUGGAACCCCAGGUGCCUCUGAGGGG